GUCUCCGCAGCAGGUCCCCCCGCACGACUUCUGCCAGGGGCCGUCCCCCAUCAGCAGCACCGGGGUCCGGAGCAGGGCGUCGUCGGUCGCCCGAGGGCAGCCUCACAUGAGCAGACAGCAGGGCCUCUUCUCCGUGGGGGCCUCCUCCGAGGGCGCUGUGAGCCUCAGCAGGGGCGGGUCUCCGGCGGCCCUGGGGCUGCAUGGCUGGGGGCUCUCGGGGUCCACGGGCAGCCCCAGCUUAGCACCCUCGGAGCCCUCGGGCAGGGGUCGCUGCAGCUUAGCAGCGGCUCGCUGGCGCUUCAGCUCCGCCAGGGUGUGGUGGGCCUUGGCGCAGGCCAGGGCGUCAGGGGUGGUGCUCUCCAGGGGGCUCAGCUGGUAGGACACGCUCCGGUCCAGCCGCUUGGAGUACAGGUGCCGCCCUGGGGAACCUCCCACGCGGCCGUUGUGUGGCCUGGCCAACUCUGGUUCCUCCUCCUGCCAGGAAGCAGGGACCUCAGAGGCCGUCGGGAAGGCGUCUCCGGCCUCCCUGGGACUUGGGCACCAGGCGGCGUGGCAGCCGAGGCGCAGACACAGGGGUGUGGGCAGCAGCUGCCCGAGGGCACUAGCCCAGUGGGGGCACUGGCUCGCUGGUCCCACCGACUCCUAGGGCGGGUGCGGCGGGAGGCCCAAGGCACCGAUGUCAGGCCACAAGCCCGCACUGCUCAGAGGGCAGCGCCCAGGCCCACCACCCGCGUCGGGCUCACCUCGCUGGGCACAGGCCGCAGCUCUGCAUCCGUUCGGCCAUCCUCGUCCUCCUCGGGGGGCUCCGGGCUAGUGGGCGGUGGCUGUUGCCACACGAUGGCCUCCUGGGCAUGCUCCUUGCGGUACAGGCUGGUACGCUGGGUCAGGCUCACCCUCCUCACCACCUUCCUGGGGAAGGCAGGGAGAGGGUGGGGGAGGGUGCCACUCGCCCCACGGAACUACCGGGGGCCCUGCUGGCACCUCAGCAACAUCAGCGGGGGCAAAGCCUGGGCAGGCGGGGAGGGAGAUGGGAGGAUGGGCAGGGUGUCUGCAGCUGGGGGGCAACCACGGGCGCUCACCCCCGGCUGCCCGCGCUCGAGGUGCGGCGGCGCAGCAGAGAGCGCUGGCGGCCCUGGGCACGCAGGAGAGCGUCGUGCUUGUGCUUCAGCUCCAGCAGCUUGGUGCGCACCUCUUCAUCCCCACACACGUCUGAGGAGAAGCGGGCGGAGGUUACGGGUGCCCUCCCGCCCACCCUGUUGGCUGGCAGAGGCAGCCCCAGCUCACCAAGAGGCGUCUCAUCCAUCAGAGACUUCCCGUUCAGGUCGGCCCCAUGUGCCACAAGCAGCUCCACCAGGUGCACCUGAGGGCCAGCGACCCGGGCUGCUGAAGGCCGCGGAGCCAGGAGCCGGGAGCCACCAGCCAGGCCCGGCUGCCCCCAGGUCCGUGCUCACCUGGCCCCAGUAG
Molecule: long non-coding RNA, 1464 nt
Filed under: Canis lupus familiaris (dog)
Lineage: Eukaryota; Metazoa; Chordata; Mammalia; Carnivora; Canidae
Description: lncRNA (ENSCAFG00000041806.2, ENSCAFG00030005290.1, ENSCAFG00845011361.1)
Source: RNAcentral